This 514-nucleotide ribosomal RNA is filed under the name uncultured bacterium. RNAcentral describes it as "partial 16S ribosomal RNA". It matches the Rfam family "Bacterial small subunit ribosomal RNA", at positions 28 to 523 of the family's 1533-position model. The record is from RNAcentral.
GAUGAACGCUGGCGGCGUGCCUAAUACAUGCAAGUCGAACGCGAGAGGAGGGAGCUUGCUCCCUCUGAUCGAGUGGCGGACGGGUGAGUAACACGUAGGCAACCUGCCCAUCAGCCGGGGAUAACUGCGGGAAACCGUGGCCAAUACCGGAUAAUCCUCUCCACCGCGGGGUGGGGAGUUGAAAGACGGUUUCGGCUGUCGCUGAUGGAUGGGCCGGCGGCGCAUUAGCUGGUUGGCGGGGUAACGGCCCACCAAGGCAACGAUGCGUAGCCGACCUGGGAGGGUGAUCGGCCACACUGGGACUGAGACACGGCCCAGACUCCUACGGGAGGCAGCAGUAGGGAAUCUUCCGCAAUGGACGCAAGUCUGACGGAGCAACGCCGCGUGAGUGAAGAAGGGUUUCGGCUCGUAAAACUCUGUUGUUAAGGAAGAACGCCAGGUAGAGUAACUGCUACCUGUGUGACGGUACUUAACCAGAAAGCCACGGCUAACUACGUGCCAGCCGCCGCAGUAA